This 490-nucleotide ribosomal RNA is filed under the name uncultured bacterium. Its description in RNAcentral is "partial 16S ribosomal RNA". It matches the Rfam family "Bacterial small subunit ribosomal RNA", at positions 30 to 507 of the family's 1533-position model. The record is from RNAcentral.
AUUGAACGCUGGCGGCAGGCCUAACACAUGCAAGUCGAACGGUAACAGGAAGAAGCUUGCUUCUUUGCUGACGAGUGGCGGGCGGGUGAGUAAUGUCUGGGAAACUGCCUGAUGGAGGGGGAUAACUACUGGAAACGGUAGCUAAUACCGCAUAAUGUCGCAAGACCAAAGAGGGGGACCUACGGGCCUCUUGCCAUCGGAUGUGCCCAGAUGGGAUUAGCUAGUAGGUGGGGUAACGGCUCACCUAGGCGACGAUCCCUAGCUGGUCUGAGAGGAUGACCAGCCACACUGGAACUGAGACACGGUCCAGACUCCUACGGGAGGCAGCAGUGGGGAAUAUUGCACAAUGGGCGCAAGCCUGAUGCAGCUAUGCCGCGUGUAUGAAGAAGGCCUUCGGGUUGUAAAGUACUUUCAGCGGGGAGGAAGGGAGUAAAGUUAAUACCUUUGCUCAUUGACGUUACCCGCAGAAGAAGCACCGGCUAACUCCGUG